Molecule: long non-coding RNA, 960 nt
Filed under: Fragaria vesca (wild strawberry)
Lineage: Eukaryota; Viridiplantae; Streptophyta; Magnoliopsida; Rosales; Rosaceae
Description: long non-coding RNA (FVES_LNC000159)
Source: RNAcentral
UCGGUGACAAGGGUCUGUAGUUUGCUGAGCACUGCAUAAAACCCUCAUUCAUCGUGUGGAUUAAUCAGCGCUGGUUUAGGUUGUUUCUGUACAAAAUGGUAAGGGUUACUGAGUUUAUAUUUAUAGAAAAUAUAACAUGCAUCCAGGCCCGCUCACCUGCGGGACUAAUUUUAAUGGACAGACACCUAAACGCCGUUCGAUCUUAAUGAUUCAAAUCUGACGGGCCACAUAAACUUCACAAAACUUCUCAGACUCCGCCUAUCCCUUUCUCGUUUUCUCUUUCUCUCCUCUCUCUUUAUUCUUUUGGAAGUAUGAUGUCACUGACUCACAGGCAACAUGUCAAGGGUGCUGGAGGGUGGUGAUCGAAUUAAACAUGAAGAACAAAGUGCUUGAAAGUCGGGCUGGCGAGGAAACGGCGUUAGCUCGCUGAACAUGGAUGCAUCUCCGGCGAAAUGUCGAUCUCUUUUCCUUGUUGGUUGCUUCAAUCUGAAUGAUCCCUUUUCUCAAGUAGAACUACACUUCGGUUUAGAGACUCGGAGGUUUACCAUGGGGAUCAUUUGAAUUUUGCAAAUUCAUUGUUUACAAUCAAACUGGGUUUUGUAAUUUUGUAAUUGUUCUUAUGUGAAUGAUUGGGGUUGUUGUCAUCUUUGAUUUCAUUUCAUUUGGCAACCUUGAUUGAAACCCAACUAUUAAUGAAUGUUUGAUGAUUCAUGAGUCUUAAACAAGACCAAAUUGAGGGAGCCAGAACGAAUGAGUUAGAAGCCCAGAAGAAUGGAGAGAGGGGAGAGAACAGAAAAUGAGAAGGGAGAGGGUUUGUAAAGUUUAUAUGAGCCGUCAGAUUUGGUUCAUUAAGAUCGAACGGCGUUAGCCGUCUGUCCCUCAAAACUAGUCCCGCAGGUGAGCGGGCCUGAACUGUCUGAGCAUGCAUCACGUUGAUGAGGCAAUUAGGUGUGAAUGAUG